RNAcentral lists this ribosomal RNA (428 nucleotides) under Megaselia sp. 45 SH-2017. Its description in RNAcentral is "partial 16S ribosomal RNA". Lineage: Eukaryota; Metazoa; Arthropoda; Insecta; Diptera; Phoridae. The record is from RNAcentral.
UUUUAGAAAUUAAUUUAAAGUCUAGCCUGCCCAUUGAGUAUUUUUUAACGGCCGCAGUAUUUUAACUGUGCAAAGGUAGCAUAAUCAUUAGUCUUUUAAUUAAAGGCUGGUAUGAAUGGUUGAAUGAGAUAUUUACUGUUUCAUAAAAAUUAAUAAUAAAACUUUAUUUUUUAGUCAAAAAGCUAAAAUAAAUUUAAAAGACGAGAAGACCCUAUAAAUCUUAAUAUUUUUUUUUAAUUUUAAUUAUAUAGAUAAAUUAAAUUAUUAUUAAAAUAAAUAUUUUAUUGGGGUGAUAUUAAAAUUUAAAAAACUUUUAAUUAAUAAUUUACAUUAAUUAAUGAAUUAUUGAUCCAUAAAUUAUGAUUAUAAAAUUAAGUUACUUUAGGGAUAACAGCGUAAUUUUUUUAAAGAGUUCAUAUUGAUAAAAA